Long non-coding RNA from Prosopis cineraria, 351 nucleotides. RefSeq lists it as uncharacterized. The record is from RefSeq and is a predicted model, not a curated record. The transcript is spliced from 2 exons. NCBI's taxonomy places the organism in Eukaryota, Viridiplantae, Streptophyta, Magnoliopsida, Fabales, Fabaceae.
CAUCGAACCAAACUAAUGGCUUCCAAGAGGCAGUCUCUUGUUUUGGUGGUUCUCUUUCUUUUUGCGUUGCUUUCUGCUGAAGCAUUGCCCAGAAAGCUAGGGAAUGCUUCGGGUCUUCAUUUUUAUUCACAAGAGGGAAGGAUACUUGCCACCCAAGCAUCUGGCAAUCGAUGUUUGCAAAGAGUCACAUCACAUGAUAAUCCUCGUUGCCACAAUUAUUAACAAUAAUAAUAAAUUAAUAACAAUAUAAUGCUUAUGAUCUAUUUAUAAAUUCAUUGUCUAAAUAGUUAUUUUGUAAAUUGUAAUGUUAUUACAAACCCAAAGGGCUCCACACCUGCUUGUUUCAAAUUA